This 1434-nucleotide ribosomal RNA is filed under the name uncultured organism. RNAcentral's name for it is "SSU rRNA". It matches the Rfam family "Bacterial small subunit ribosomal RNA". The record is from RNAcentral.
CGCUAGCUACAGGCUUAACACAUGCAAGUCGAGGGGCAGCAUGGUCUUAGCUUGCUAAGGCCGAUGGCGACCGGCGCACGGGUGAGUAACACGUAUCCAACCUGCCGUCUACUCUUGGACGGCCUUCUGAAAGGAAGAUUAAUACAAGAUGGCAUCAUGAGUCCACAUGUUCACAUGAUUAAAGGUAUUCCGGUAGACGAUGGGGAUGCGUUCCAUUAGAUAGUAGGCGGGGUAACGGCCCACCUAGUCUUCGAUGGAUAGGGGUUCUGAGAGGAAGGUCCCUCACAUUGGAACUGAGACACGGUCCAAACUCCUACGGGAGGCAGCAGUGAGGAAUAUUGGUCAAUGGGCGAGAGCCUGAACCAGCCAAGUAGCGUGAAGGAUGACUGCCCUAUGGGUUGUAAACUUCUUUUAUAAAGGAAUAAAGUCGGGUAUGCAUACCCGUUUGCAUGUACUUUAUGAAUAAGGAUCGGCUAACUCCGUGCCAGCAGCCGCGGUAAUACGGAGGAUCCGAGCGUUAUCCGGAUUUAUUGGGUUUAAAGGGAGCGUAGAUGGAUGUUUAAGUCAGUUGUGAAAGUUUGCGGCUCAACCGUAAAAUUGCAGUUGAUACUGGAUAUCUUGAGUGCAGUUGAGGCAGGCGGAAUUCGUGGUGUAGCGGUGAAAUGCUUAGAUAUCACGAAGAACUCCGAUUGCGAAGGCAGCCUGCUAAGCUGCAACUGACAUUGAGGCUCGAAAGUGUGGGUAUCAAACAGGAUUAGAUACCCUGGUAGUCCACACGGUAAACGAUGAAUACUCGCUGUUUGCGAUAUACUGCAAGCGGCCAAGCGAAAGCGUUAAGUAUUCCACCUGGGGAGUACGCCGGCAACGGUGAAACUCAAAGGAAUUGACGGGGGCCCGCACAAGCGGAGGAACAUGUGGUUUAAUUCGAUGAUACGCGAGGAACCUUACCCGGGCUUAAAUUGCAGAUGAAUUACGGUGAAAGCCGUAAGCCGCAAGGCAUCUGUGAAGGUGCUGCAUGGUUGUCGUCAGCUCGUGCCGUGAGGUGUCGGCUUAAGUGCCAUAACGAGCGCAACCCUUGUUGUCAGUUACUAACAGGUUCUGCUGAGGACUCUGACAAGACUGCCAUCGUAAGAUGUGAGGAAGGUGGGGAUGACGUCAAAUCAGCACGGCCCUUACGUCCGGGGCUACACACGUGUUACAAUGGGGGGUACAGAGGGCCGCUACCACGCGAGUGGAUGCCAAUCCCAAAAACCUCUCUCAGUUCGGACUGGAGUCUGCAACCCGACUCCACGAAGCUGGAUUCGCUAGUAAUCGCGCAUCAGCCACGGCGCGGUGAAUACGUUCCCGGGCCUUGUACACACCGCCCGUCAAGCCAUGGGAGCCGGGGGUACCUGAAGUGCGUAACCGCGAGGAGCGCCCUAGGGUAAAACUGGA